CUGCUUCUCUCCCUGUUGUUACAAAAAGUGGAUCUCACUUGAAACUCGGUGCUCUGCUUCUUGUUUUUGCAGUAACUCCUCCAGAAGCACUGACUCAACAUGGCAGACAUUCACUCCUUGCUUUUCUCUGCUCUGGAUGAUCUGGAACGAGAUGAUCUGAAGCGCUUCAAGAUGUACUUGCAGCAGGGCGUCGCUGAAGGUCUAGGCCGCAUUCCGAAGGGUCAGUUGGAGGACAAGGGGGUGACCGAUGUGGUUGAAAAGAUGGUGGUGAGCUUUGGAAGAGAGGAGGCCCUCAGAGUGACUCUUCUGAUCCUGAAGAAGAUCAACCAAAAUGACCUCGCUCAACAGCUGGAAAAAGAAUACGAAAAGCAGAUCAGUGAACAGCAGAGGGAUAUGAGGAGGGCUGAGGCUGAGAAUCAGAUUGAGGAGCACAUUCAGAAGCUGGAGCAGGAAAUUGCUGAGCUGAGGAGGAGAAAUUCAGAGUUGGAGCAGCUUCCACUUGGGGAGGACUUUGUGAGCCCCACGCAAAGCUCCCCAACCCAGUUCCCAUCCAGUGCGGAGGAGGACACAUCCAACAAGCCUAAUCAAGCGACCAAACCAAAAGAGUUAUUGAAAAAAGAUGUGGUUAAACUGGAGGACAAGCUCAGGAGAGAAAGACUGAGUCUUAAAGAGCUCAGUGAGUAACAUUUUGCAGUUAUUUUUCAAACUAGUCUUUGGAACAGUCCUCAUAAGGUAAGGCCUUACUCCUAGUCUAAAACACAUUAAAACUUUAGUUCUUGUAUAAAACCUUGCAUGAAACAAACUG
RNAcentral lists this long non-coding RNA (805 nucleotides) under Scleropages formosus (Asian bonytongue). RNAcentral's name for it is "lncRNA (ENSSFOG00015030892.1)". Lineage: Eukaryota; Metazoa; Chordata; Actinopteri; Osteoglossiformes; Osteoglossidae. The record is from RNAcentral.